GACUGGGCGUAAAGGGCGCGUAGGCGGCACACACAGUCAGAUGUGAAAUUCCUGGGCUCAACCUGGGGACUGCAUUUGAUACGUGUGAGCUAGAGUGRAGAAGAGGGUUGUGGAAUUUCCAGUGUAGAGGUGAAAUUCGUAGAUAUUGGAAAGAACACCGGUGGCGAAGGCGGCAACCUGGUCUUUAACUGACGCUGAGGCGCGAAAGCGUGGGGAGCAAACAGGAUUAGAUACCCUGGUAGUCCACGCUGUAAACGAUGUGUGCUGGAUGUUGGGGAACUUAGUUUCUCAGUGUCGUAGCUAACGCGAUAAGCACACCG
This 320-nucleotide ribosomal RNA is filed under the name uncultured Acidocella sp. Its description in RNAcentral is "bacterial SSU rRNA". It matches the Rfam family "Bacterial small subunit ribosomal RNA", at positions 553 to 871 of the family's 1533-position model. Lineage: Bacteria; Pseudomonadati; Pseudomonadota; Alphaproteobacteria; Acetobacterales; Acidocellaceae. The record is from RNAcentral.